AUGACGAACAUGGGUAAAGUACAAGUGGGAACCAACAAGACAUUGAUAUGCUUGUGGUUGGUGAUGCUGCUUGUCCUUUCAUCUGAAGAGAUGGGAUCUGAUGGUUGUGAAGGUCAUGAUAGCCAAACCUGGGAUGGCAACAUGUGUGUAAAGCACGGCACCUGCAAUGUGGUCUGCCAGAGAGAGGGUUAUGACAGAGGCCGCUGCUACGUGACUGUAUGCAGGUGCUACAAGAACUGCACUGAUCUACCAAUUUAG
This 258-nucleotide ribosomal RNA is filed under the name Triticum aestivum (bread wheat). RNAcentral describes it as "partial small subunit ribosomal RNA". The record is from RNAcentral. Lineage: Eukaryota; Viridiplantae; Streptophyta; Magnoliopsida; Poales; Poaceae.